RNAcentral lists this ribosomal RNA (210 nucleotides) under Klebsiella pneumoniae. Its description in RNAcentral is "partial 16S ribosomal RNA". It matches the Rfam family "Bacterial small subunit ribosomal RNA", at positions 367 to 569 of the family's 1533-position model. The record is from RNAcentral. Lineage: Bacteria; Pseudomonadati; Pseudomonadota; Gammaproteobacteria; Enterobacterales; Enterobacteriaceae.
CACAAUGGGCGCAAGCCUGAUGCAGCCAUGCCGCGUGUGUGAAGAAGGCCUUCGGGUUGUAAAGCACUUUCAGCGGGGAGGAAGGCGGUGAGGUUAAUAACCUCAUCGAUUGACGUUACCCGCAGAAGAAGCACCGGCUAACUCCGUGCCAGCAGCCGCGGUAAUACGGAGGGUGCAAGCGUUAAUCGGAAUUACUGGGCGUAAAGCGCA